This 497-nucleotide ribosomal RNA is filed under the name uncultured bacterium. RNAcentral describes it as "partial 16S ribosomal RNA". It matches the Rfam family "Bacterial small subunit ribosomal RNA", at positions 28 to 507 of the family's 1533-position model. The record is from RNAcentral.
GAUGAACGCUGGCGGCGUGCCUAAUACAUGCAGGUCGAGCGAACGGACGAGAAGCGUGCUUCUCUGAUGUUAGCGGCGGACGGGUGAGUAACACGUGGAUAACCUACCUAUAAGACUGGGAUAACUUCGGGAAACCGGAGCUAAUACCGGAUAAUAUUUUGAACCGCAUGGUUCAAAAGUGAAAGACGGUCUUGCUGUCACUUAUAGAUGGAUCCGCGCUGCAUUAGCUAGUUGGUAAGGUAACGGCUUACCAAGGCAACGAUGCAUAGCCGACCUGAGAGGGUGAUCGGCCACACUGGAACUGAGACACGGUCCAGACUCCUACGGGAGGCAGCAGUAGGGAAUCUUCCGCAAUGGGCGAAAGCCUGACGGAGCAACGCCGCGUGAGUGAUGAAGGUCUUCGGAUCGUAAAACUCUGUUAUUAGGGAAGAACAUAUGUGUAAGUAACUGUGCACAUCUUGACGGUACCUAAUCAGAAAGCCACGGCUAACUACGUG